UACGUAGGGUGCAAGCGUUAAUCGGAAUUACUGGGCGUAAAGCGUGCGCAGGCGGUUUUGUAAGACAGAGGUGAAAUCCCCGGGCUCAACCUGGGAACUGCAUCCGAGACUGCAUUGCUAGAGUAUGGGAGAGGGAAGCGGAAUUUCUGGUGUAGCAGUGAAAUGCGUAGAUAUCAGAAGGAACAUCAGUGGCGAAGGCGGCUUCCUGGACCAAUACUGACGAUCAGGUGCGAAAGCGUGGGGAGCAAACAGG
Molecule: ribosomal RNA, 253 nt
Filed under: uncultured bacterium
Lineage: Bacteria
Description: partial 16S ribosomal RNA
Rfam family: Bacterial small subunit ribosomal RNA
Source: RNAcentral